This is a long non-coding RNA of Oncorhynchus keta (chum salmon), 235 nucleotides long. RefSeq lists it as uncharacterized. Lineage: Eukaryota; Metazoa; Chordata; Actinopteri; Salmoniformes; Salmonidae. The record is from RefSeq and is a predicted model, not a curated record. The transcript is spliced from 3 exons.
UACGGUACAGACAGGUGAUCUACGGUAUAGACAGGUGAUCCACGGUAUAGACAGGUGAACCACGGUAUAGACAGGUGAUCUACGGUAUAGACAGGUGAUCUACGGUAUAGACAGGUGAUCUACGGUAUAGACAGGUGAUCUACGGUAUAGACAGGUGAACCACGGUAUAGACAGGUGAUCUAAGGUAUAGACAGGUGAACCACGGUAUAGACAGGUGAUCUACGGUAUAGACAGG